GUUUGAUCCUGGCUCAGAUUGAACGCUGGCGGCAGGCCUAACACAUGCAAGUCGAGCGGCAGCGGGAAAGUAGCUUGCUACUUUUGCCGGCGAGCGGCGGACGGGUGAGUAAUGCCUGGGGAUCUGCCCAGUCGAGGGGGAUAACAGUUGGAAACGACUGCUAAUACCGCAUACGCCCUACGGGGGAAAGGAGGGGACCUUCGGGCCUUUCGCGAUUGGAUGAACCCAGGUGGGAUUAGCUAGUUGGUGGGGUAAUGGCUCACCAAGGCGACGAUCCCUAGCUGGUCUGAGAGGAUGAUCAGCCACACUGGAACUGAGACACGGUCCAGACUCCUACGGGAGGCAGCAGUGGGGAAUAUUGCACAAUGGGGGAAACCCUGAUGCAGCCAUGCCGCGUGUGUGAAGAAGGCCUUCGGGUUGUAAAGCACUUUCAGGCGAGGAGGAAAGGUUGG
RNAcentral lists this ribosomal RNA (452 nucleotides) under Aeromonas sp. 01WB04.2-11. RNAcentral's name for it is "bacterial SSU rRNA". It matches the Rfam family "Bacterial small subunit ribosomal RNA", at positions 11 to 457 of the family's 1533-position model. Lineage: Bacteria; Pseudomonadati; Pseudomonadota; Gammaproteobacteria; Aeromonadales; Aeromonadaceae. The record is from RNAcentral.